UCCUUUAUUGGAUAUCUCUAAAGCAAUGAUUUCUAAUUGCUUUCAAGUAUAAUAAGGCACAACACUAAUGGUGAGUCGCCUAGGACAGAAGGGAACCUACAAAUAAGCUCCACCUGCCCCUGAUAAAUAAACCCAAUCGAGUGAUAUGUGUGUCUCCACUCCAUAAUUUGCUCAUAGAUAAAAGCAUGUACUCCCUCGUCCCACAUUAGACGAUGUUUUAGAAUCUCCCACGAAAACCAAUGUCGAAACUAAAAGAUCAAAAUACCCCUCGAGGAGUAGAGAUAGGAUGUAGUAUUGAAAAAUGAAAAAGAUGUCGGAGAGAAGAGAAAGAUAUAUUAGCUGAAAAGACUCAAAAAAUUGGCCAUGAGUAGUUGCACUGCACAUACAUGUACAAUGUGUUUCAAAAGGCUAAUACUCCCUCCAUUUGAAAUUAUAAGAAGUUUCGACUCAUCAAGGUACAAAUUUUCUAUGCAUUUAAAUAUACACUAGUUAGUUAAAGUAGUAUAUCUAAAAACCAAAACGUCUUGCCGGUAUAAGAGUACUACUGUACUAGUAUAUAUGCACAUGGUUGUAAUAACGUAUUUGCCUAGCAUAAUCAUUCGGUUACUAUUGCCUGGUACCACUAGUUGUCAUGUUCAGUAGUAAAAGAUUACUGCGGACUAUGAGGACGAUGGUAUUUUUUUUUUUUGGAAAGGGGUAAAAGAAAAGUUGCUACUCCGUACGAACUAGUGCACUAAGGCGAUCCAAAAUUUUUUUAUUUUGAUACUGUAGCAUUUUUGUUUUUAUUUGACAAACAAUAUCUAAUCAUGGAGCAACUAGGCUUAAAAAAUUCGUCUUAUGAUUUACAGAUAAACUGUGCAAUUAGUUAUAUUUUUUUAUCUAUAUUUAGUGUUCCAUGCAUGUGCCGCAAAAUUCGAUGUGAUGGGGAAUCUUGUAAAGUUUUGGGUUUUUGAUGUAUCUAAACAAGGGCUAAGUAUACUCCUACUAGUACGAGUACUACUUGCUAGUACGUGCCUGUUGAUGUUUUGUUGGUAUCCUUGUGCCGCAGCAGACGGGGACAGCAGCAGCUCCAGUAGCUUUAGCACGCUUUCAUGAAAAUCUUUGGACGAGGCCCAAAAUAUUUCCGUUUCCUGUUGUCUCUAUCUCUUUUCCAGUUUUCACUGCAUAAGCUUGCCCGGCGUCUGCCAUGUACUGUAUAUUACUGCGACCUUUUGGCGUUGAUGAAAAUUUUUGCAAAAUGUUACUGCAGCAUUUUGUUUGUAUUUGAUAAUUACUGUUUAACUAUGAACUAACUAGAUUUAAAAGAUUCGUCUCGCAAAUUAAAGAUGAACUAUGUAAUUAAUUAUUUUUUUAUCUAUAUUUAAUACUUCAUACAUGUACCGCAAGAUUUGAUGUGAUAAAAAAUGUUAGGCCUUGUUUAGUUCCCAAAAAAUUUUGCAAAAUUUUUCAGAUUCCCCGUCACAUCAAAUAUUUAGACGCAUGCAUAGAGUAUUAAAUAUAGACGAAAAUAAAAACUAAUUGCACGGUU
Molecule: long non-coding RNA, 1528 nt
Filed under: Sorghum bicolor (sorghum)
Lineage: Eukaryota; Viridiplantae; Streptophyta; Magnoliopsida; Poales; Poaceae
Description: long non-coding RNA (SBIC_LNC007457)
Source: RNAcentral